CUUAAAGGUGACAUGAGGCAUUGCAAAGG
RNAcentral lists this non-coding RNA (29 nucleotides) under Rattus norvegicus (Norway rat). The record is from RNAcentral. Lineage: Eukaryota; Metazoa; Chordata; Mammalia; Rodentia; Muridae.